GAUGAACGCUGGCGGCGUGCCUAAUACAUGCAAGUCGAGCGAACGGACGAUAAUCUUGCUUCUCUGAUGUUAGCGGCGGACGGGUGAGUCACACGUGUAUACCCUCCCUAUAAUACUGGUAUCACUUCGGAAAACCGGCGCUAAUCCCGUAUAAUAUUUUGCACCGCGUGGUUCAAAAGUGAAUUACGGUCUUGCUGUCACUUCUCGAUGCUUCCGCGCUGCAUUAGAUGGUUGUUAAGGUAACGGCUUACCAAGGCAACGAUGCAUAGCCGACGUGCGGGGGUGAUAGCCCACCUGAGAAGUGAGACACGGACAAGACGACUAAGGGAGGCAGCAGUAGGGAAUCUUACGCAAUGGGCGAAAGCAUGACGGAGCAAGGCCGAGUGAGUGAUGAAGGCCUCCGGAUCGUAAAACUCGGUUAUGAGGGAAGAACAGAUGUGGAAGGAAAUGUGCACAGCGUGACGGUAACUAAUAAGAAAGCCACGGCUAACUACGUG
This 497-nucleotide ribosomal RNA is filed under the name uncultured bacterium. RNAcentral's name for it is "partial 16S ribosomal RNA". It matches the Rfam family "Bacterial small subunit ribosomal RNA", at positions 28 to 507 of the family's 1533-position model. The record is from RNAcentral.